AGUGAACGCUGGCGGCAGGCCUAACACAUGCAAGUCGAACGGCAGCGGGUAGGAAGCUUGCUUCCUAUGCCGGCGAGUGGCGGACGGGUGAGGAACACAUCGGAAUCUACUCCGUCGUGGGGGAUAACGUAGGGAAACUUACGCUAAUACCGCAUACGACCUAAGGGUGAAAGUGGGGGACCGCAAGGCCUCACGCGAUGGAAUGAGCCGAUGUCCGAUUAGCUAGUUGGCGGGGUAAAGGCCCACCAAGGCGACGAUCGGUAGCUGGUCUGAGAGGAUGAUCAGCCACACUGGGACUGAGACACGGCCCAGACUCCUACGGGAGGCAGCAGUGGGGAAUAUUGGACAAUGGGCGAAAGCCUGAUCCAGCCAUGCCGCGUGGGUGAAGAAGGCCUUCGGGUUGUAAAGCCCUUUUGUUGGGGAAGAAAUCCUGCUGGCUAAUACCCGGCGGGGAUGACGGUACCCAAAGAAUAAGC
This 476-nucleotide ribosomal RNA is filed under the name uncultured bacterium. RNAcentral describes it as "bacterial SSU rRNA". It matches the Rfam family "Bacterial small subunit ribosomal RNA", at positions 29 to 491 of the family's 1533-position model. The record is from RNAcentral.